GCCUGUGUGGCUCAGUCGGUUAAGCAUCUGACUUCAGCUCAGGUCAUGGUCUCACGGUUCGUGGGUUUGAGCCCCGCAUUGGGCU
Molecule: transfer RNA, 85 nt
Filed under: Felis catus (domestic cat)
Lineage: Eukaryota; Metazoa; Chordata; Mammalia; Carnivora; Felidae
Rfam family: tRNA
About the family: Transfer RNA (tRNA) molecules are approximately 80 nucleotides in length. Their secondary structure includes four short double-helical elements and three loops (D, anti-codon, and T loops). Further hydrogen bonds mediate the characteristic L-shaped molecular structure. tRNAs have two regions of fundamental functional importance: the anti-codon, which is responsible for specific mRNA codon recognition, and the 3' end, to which the tRNAs corresponding amino acid is attached (by aminoacyl-tRNA synthetases). tRNAs cope with the degeneracy of the genetic code in two manners: having more than one tRNA (with a specific anti-codon) for a particular amino acid; and 'wobble' base-pairing, i.e. permitting non-standard base-pairing at the 3rd anti-codon position.
Source: Rfam by way of RNAcentral